UAUUUAGAAACCAAUACAAUUUCUUCCAAACUUUAAAAAUCCUUGUUGGAAAGCUCACGAUGGACUGCUGAAUGACGGGAAUGUGCACUGCUUGCCUUAUGCGUAUCUUAUUGGCGUAAGGAAGAGUGCUACUUCAGAUUUGUUCAGCAGAAUUUCCAGACAUCCAGGUAUAUGUCUGCCUUCAUUUACAAAAGAGUGCCAGUGGAUAUCAAAUCAACGAUUUGGUGCGCCGAAUUAUGUGCGUAAAAUGAGAGUUAUUGAACAGAAUAUUGUCAAAAAGGGAAUUGAACCUACAAAUGUAGACUUUUAUGUAUCAAUGUUCGACCCUGCGGCAGCCUGUAUAUCAAAGGACAAUUCAUCAUUGCAUAGGAAAAUAACAGGUAUAACAUAUAAUACGAUGAUGAACGUAGUAUCAUGUUUAUGAGUAUAAAACGAAACUACAUAUAAACCAAUCCCAGCUAUUACACAGAAGGUUAGUGGUACCUGUCCGCCAUUGGACAAAUAAACAUUAGAUUGAUGGAUAAUAAUUAAACUAACUUAAACCUUAAUAAAACAGAGAUAUCACCCUUAAUUAUACAAAGUUCAACAUUUAGUACAUUUUA
Molecule: long non-coding RNA, 602 nt
Organism: Ruditapes philippinarum (Manila clam)
Lineage: Eukaryota; Metazoa; Mollusca; Bivalvia; Venerida; Veneridae
Exons: 3
Source: RefSeq, a predicted model, not a curated record